UCAAGUUCUUCAUUCUUCACUUGAGCAGUCCGUGUAACCAGGCUACACAAUGUAGCAUGUAUCAUUGUGUUUUGAUCAUAAAGGGAUAGCCAACAAUUCUUAUACCAACAAAGACGGAAAGGAAAAGUGAGGGAGAACGAAGAAGGCAACGAAAGAAAGAAGAGGAGAGGGGAGAGGAAUGGAUGAGAUCGAAGGGAAACAAAAGCAGAGAGAAAGUGUGAGAGAGGGAGGGAGGGGGAAGAGGGGAGGGGGGCAAGCCCAGUUUGUGAUAAAGAUAAAUACGAGGACUCUUGUCGAUAAUUUGGUGAGUGAUUUCUGGAAUUUCUUCAAAGGUUCAUGUAUUAAUUGUUUACACCUAAAUUAAUAUUUUACUGGAUAGUAAUUGUCUAAAGUGAAUAUUAAUUAAAUUCAUGGUCCACACCGACGAGCCCGAAAUAUUGGGUUUAUUAGUGAUGGCCCACUAACAAAAGCAUGCGAGCUAGUUGGUAAAGUUCGUGUGAGUCUAGGAGUUUGCAUGCGAAGAAACUAGCAUGCGAGCUGUGUAGAAGCCUUCGCACACAAGGACUGAAGUUUCCAUGCGUACUGGACAAAGUUUGUAUGCGAGGAGAUCUUCUUGGAUUUGAAGUGGAGGACUUCACAUAAGAGAGGGAGUCUUGGACGUGGACUUCGCAUAGAAGACAUAUGCAUGCGUGCGAGAAAGUAGUUGCAUGUGGGAGGGACAAGGAUAUGUUGCACUUAGAUGUUGUAGAGCGGGACAUGGAAGCAAUACUUAUCCUUAAUUGUUGUUUAAUAAGGAAUGAUCAUAUGUGCAACAUAGAUACAUGAGGUCCAGUGUGUGCAUGGCGGAGAGGAGUUCGCCUAAGAAGAGGAGACCAAAGAGGCGCGAGCUGAUUUAAUGUUUAAUUGAAGAAGGGAGCCAACACUUAUCCUUAAUUGCUCCGUGCAUGUGCAUUUGAAUGUUAUUCCUUAAUUGCAUGAGUAUAGGUACGUGCACAUCUAGGAUUACACGUCCAGAAGGUUUCCAAGUCUCCAUCAAGUAUUCGCGGGCUAUCCUAUAGUCUAGAAUAUGAUCAUAUCAUCAAGAGGCAUCAAUUAUGUUGCCUACAAUGUCUCAACGUUGAAGACUUAUACAAGUCUUUGACAUGCUUUGAGCUAAUACCUAUGGCCCUAAAAUACCUCUAUAUAAGGGAGUUUGAGGAUACUCUCUCUACACACUCAACAACUCAACAAAAAUACAAUACAACUUUCAACAUAGUUGAACCUCUAGACGCUAAAGCCUCACGCCUUAACAACCUUUUUCCUUUCAAGCUCCCAGGAGCUCUCUUACGUUCUCGUUUUCUUUUUAUUUGGUUGCUCUGUGUCACGCCCCCAAACCGAGACCAUUAUUAUAUGGAAAUAUGGUGCCCGAAUUUGCGACAUGAGUUGAAACAAAUAAAAUUUUCUCAAAUAAUUUAUUAGAAGAAGAAAUAUAUAUGUCUGAAUAAUACUUUUAUUAGAAAGGGAAAGCAUUAAUAAUUUACAAUACCAAAUAUUUUACAAUACGAAAGUUUUAGCAAGAGUAUAUAAAACAUUACAUUUAUUCUCAAAAUAGCAACAGAAAACAUUCUUUUAUUUAGUAGGUUCAUCCCAUUCCCCAAGCAUCUAUUCGUUACCUGAAACAAUAAUNNNNNNNNNNNNNNNNNNNNUUUAUCCUUAGUUAUGCAUUUUGAUAAUCUUAAAGACAAAAAAGUAUAGGAAUGUAACCAUGUACUUACUCUUGAAUUUUCAGAAGUGAAGUGAGGAUUUGGGUAUUGACUCAAGGUUGGACUUCUUUGACAAAGAGAGAACUUCUCAAGAGAAAAGAGUGAAUGGUAGGAUAUUUUGGUGUGGGAGCUUUUCUAUUCAACUAAGGGAGUUUGUGAUCAUCUUUACGUUUGAUCUUGGAGUGUGAAGAAAAGAUGUUGCAGCUCCCAAGUAUAAAUAGGCCAUGAAGCAUGCAUUGUAAAUUAAUUUCCAGCAAUUUUAUUUGACUUAAAAGGCCAAACAUUAAAUUUGAGUGAUAGUCUAGCUAGUUAGGGUGAUUUUUCACAAAGAAAACCAAAUAGUAAGACGGGUAAAAGAAAAAUCAGCUAGUGCAUGAAUCUAUAGAUACACAAAUAUUUAUAUAUGUAUAUAUAGAUAUAUAUCUACUCAAGCUAAUAAGUAAAGGAAUAUGAUGUUUUCCUUUCUUAAGAUCUUGUAAAUGUGUUAGUAAUAUUUAAGAUUAGAAUAGUAUGCAUGAUAAAAGCAAUACUAACACGAAUCUUAAAUUCAAUCACGAGUAUCGAUUGUAUGUAAGAAAUACGGGUUAAGGUAUUUAAGUAGUUUACUUAAAUUCUAAUACUUAAUAAAAAUACCUAUCUUGUAAGUAUGAUACUUGGAGUCAUUGGCUUCUAAAAUGAAUAUUUUAGAAGAUAUUUGGAUUACUAUCUAAGGUUAAAGAGCCUUAGUGUGCUAUAUAAUUUGUGCUAAGUUUCGGGGUACUACACUCUGCUCAUUACAACCGCGAGUAUCGAUAUUGGUGGCGGAGAAGCUACUGUAAAUCCUCGUCCACGAGGUGGCACCAGAGUCCUACUUUAGUUUGAUUAGAAGUACAAGUCAGUGCACUACAACAAUAACUUUACUACAUUCCGCGUCCGCGCGGUGUUGCGUUCUCGUUUUCCUUUUCUUUGGUUGCUCUGCUCAUUACAACCGCGAGUAUCGAUAUUGGUCGCGGAGAAGUUACUAUAAAUCCUCGUCCACGAGGUGGCACCAGAGCUCUACUUUCGUUUGAUUAGAAGUACAGAUCAGCGCACUACAACAACAACCAUACUACAUUCCGCGUCCGCGCGGUGACACGCCUCGCAUCCCUAGAAGCAUUAACUGGUACCAUCUCUCUACCCCUGUUGAGGAUUGUGGCCAAAACAUUGGCACGCCCAGUAGGACUGGAGUAGUAUCUUCCGUCAUCCGCCAUUGGAAGGGCAGAUGAGUAUCCGUAUUGCCUCUUCUAAGUUAAGACCGAGCAAUCUGCUCAUGGUCUUGCAAAUGAAAAAACGUUAGCAAGAUUUGACAAUCCAGAUUCGCGCAUGAUAACCAUGACCAAUUCAAUGGUCACAAACCAAGGCUUAGGGUUGACACCUUUGGCUCGGGAGCAAGUUCGCCAGACGGUGGCUCAUUUCGAGGAUCUAAAAGCCUAUUACGUACGAAACCCUCUUCGCCUCCCUGGAAAGCAAGCUCGAUAAAAUGUUGACACGCUUUGAGGUUAAGGCACCACUAAAGGCUCCAAUCACGGCAGUGGAAGCUAUCUCGGCCAAGUGUACAAGGCCAGAAACAGUGACCCAGGUUGCCGAAGAACUUGAGGACAAGGCCGUUGAGAUUUUCGAUGAUCUUCCUACCUCAAAGACUGACGACAUUUCUCAGAAAAAGGAGCUUGAAGAUAGGACAAAACAGUCCAUCUUAGAAGAAAGAUGGGUUCAAACACUGAUGGCGAACCACAGUUGCGCAUGACCUUCGAUCAAGGAGAUUAUGAUGGGAAGGACCGUUCUGCUAAUAGCAUGCAUGUCCUUAAAACAAUAGUUGUUUCCCCAUAGAUCAAGAGGUAUACGUGGAUACUGGACAAGUACAUGAGUGGCAAGAUGUAGGCCACCUUCGUUUGUUUGAUCUCCAUGGCCAAGUUCAAGAUAACUAUGAAGGCCGGAGGGUUUUGGCUUGUGAUGUGCAUGAUCAUAUCUUUGUUUGCAAUAAAGAAAGGCCUCCAGAAGAAUUUAAUCAAUUGGAUAGUGGUCUUGCUACGAGACAUCCUCUUGAUAUUGGUCAAAUCUUACAACUUAACCAUCAAUUGAAUAUCCCCAGUUCAAUUCGUGGCUUCCUUGUCCAAUUCAUAUGGAUUUGUGACUUGCAUGCUAUGCGAAAGCCAACCAAUGGCUUUGCUGUAUGCGAUUUGAUUUAUCAUGAAGGCAAUGUCAUCGUUGCUUUUGAUUAUAAAACUUCGAGUCACUUACAAAAGAAACUCGUAUGCGAUGGUACAGGCCAAGCCUGCACCCAACGCGAUACUUAUGGCUUUAGUAUGCCUACCUUUCAUGCAGAAAACAAUUCGCUUAUUGGUAGAGAUUACUGUGAUCUUUCGACAACACCAAUAUACGAUGAGUACGGUGACGAUUAUAGAUUGAUCAUUGACUCUAAAGUUGACAGCCGGUCUUUGGCUAGUUAUGAUGAAACCAUGCGCCAUGACAUGGUAGUCGGUAACAAGGUAUCUUUACACCAUACUACCCGCAAGGAUAUAAUUUAAGAUCAUGCCUUACCAAAUGACAAAGAUGCUUGGAGGGCAACAAGGCAAUCCAUAUGAGCUAUUUUCUUCAAAUUUUAAAGUUGUUGACGCAAAACAUCUUUGCUCAACACUUGUAAAUUCUCUACAAAAAGUGUCUCAUGCCGGGAAUAUAACGACGUCGAGGCUUGGAGUGAAGCAUUGGUGGUCUCCCCCGUGGCCUUACGAAGGGUAACUAACCAUACUAUGAUCCUUCUUUUCUCUGCUCCUAGCUUUUACUUCAGCUUUUACUUCUGUUUUCUUUCAUUUUCUUUCUUUCUCGCAUUGAAAAAAGAAAAAUACAAAAAAAAAAUCAAAUAGCAAAAAACACAAAAAGAUUUUUCGUUUUGCUGAAACGCAAGACAAAGUUUUUGCCUACAUAAGGCUUGAACUUUACUAAGAGGCCUAUCCCUAAAGUCUGGAGACAAUAUAGCAGGCUGCCAGCGAAGUCAAGUCAGAGAAGAAAUACCAUUAGAUUGCAAUGCUGAAAGUUGCAACAGACAUUACUGGAUAGUCAACUUCGUGGACUAAACUGGAAUGAUCCAGGAAGAACUAGCAGGCGAGCCUUAUAUCAACAGAAAGCCCUGGAUGUCUAUUUUCCAGAGGAUUUUACGGUUCAUCAUUUCGACAUUUCUAGAGAGAGUUAUGGCAGUUUGAAUGCAGACAGGUCAGGAUAUGCGCAAAUUUGCAAUGUGUUUUUUCAAUGUGUUUUCAUGACCUUGCAACAUGCUUUCCUUUACUAGGGGGCAUCCAUAAAAGUUUUGUGUACCUUCAUUGGGGAGCAUACUAAAGUUUUGAUGUCAUUUAUUUUUCUCAAGUAUCAUUGAACAGACAUCAAAACUGGGGGGCAAAUAUGAGAUAGAGAUGUGUUCCGAAUAUUUCAGACUAUAGACAAUCUUCAAAUGUCUUGGUUAUUAUUUAGGCCAACACCUGUGGCCUCUAAAAAAAAUUAUGUUUAACUCUCAUCGGUUCGCACGUUGGGGGGGGGGGGGAGGCAAAGUGUCUUGUGUUUGACUCUCAUUGAUUCAUACUGGGGGCAGCAAAGUGAACUAUAUCCACUCAAGAUGUAUCUAUUCAAGGUACAUCCAUUCGAAGUCAGACGGUUCCUUUCCAAAUAUAUCUACUCGAGGUACAUCCAUGCGAGGACAUAUCUACUCGAGGUGCAUGCAUGGUACUAUGUUCUCUGAGUGGAGCAGGCGGAGUGCACGACAUCAUUCGUAGUGAUUUAAGUCCAAGGUACCUAGCUAUGUUAAGUUCAUAAUCAUCAGUUGAAUAUGGUACUAGGCGAAUCGUACAGCAGCUUCACUACAAUGCUUUGUUGCUGGGUGCUUGAGUUUUAAAGCUUAUUCAGAGGCUUGUUCACUCACACUCAUUUUGUGUAUGACCUGAGCCAAUACCAAUGGCUUUGGAGCAGCAUGAAACAUAAACCUCUUCAGUCAUUCUUGACAUUCAUGACUUCGGGCUGGGGGAGGGGCAAUGUUUACACUCAAAUUAAUAUUUUACUGGAUAGUAAUUGUCUGAAGUGAAUAUUAAUUAAAUUCAUGGUUCACAAUAACGAGUCCGAAAUAUUAAGUUUACUAGUGAUGGCCUACCACAAAAGCAUGCGAGUUAGUUGGUAAAGUUUGCGUGAGUCUAGGAGUUUGCAUGCGAAGAAACUAGCAUGCGAGCUGUGUAGAAGCCUUCGCACACAAGGAGUGAAGUUUCCAUGCGAACUGGACAAAGUUUGUAUGCGAGGAGAUUUUCUUACAUUUAAAGUGGAGGACUUCGCAUAAGAGAGGGAGUCUUGGACGUGGACUUCGCAUAGAAGACAUUUGCAUGCGUGCGAGAAAGUAGUUGCAUGUGGAAGGGAUAAAGAUAUGUUGCACUUAGAUGUGGUAGAGCGGGACAAAAGCAAUACUUAUCCUUAAUUGUUGUUUAAUAAGGAAUGAUCAUAUGUGCAACAUGGAUACAUAAGGUCCAGUGUGUGCAUGGCGGAGUCUAUAUACAUGCGAAGAGAGGAGUUCGCCUAAGAAAAGGAGACCAAAGGGGCGCGAGUUGAUUUAAUGUUUAAUUGAAGAAGGGAACCAACACUUAUCCCUAAUUGCUCCGUGCAUGUGCAUUUGAAUGUUAUUCCUUAAUUGCAUAAGUAUAGUUACGUGCACAUAUAGGAUUACACGUCCAGAAGGUUUCCAAGUCUCCAUCAAGUAUUCGCGGACUAUCCUACUGUCUAGAAUAUGAUCAUAUCAAGAGGCAACUAUGUUGCCUACAAUGUCUCAACGUUGAAGACUUCUACAAGUCUUUGACAUGUUUUCGGCCAAUACCUGUGGCCCUAAAAUACCUCAAUAUAAGGGAGUUCGAGGAUACUCUCUCUACACACUCAACAACUCAACAAAAAUACAAUAUAACUUUCAAAAUAGUUG
RNAcentral lists this long non-coding RNA (6699 nucleotides) under Fragaria vesca (wild strawberry). RNAcentral describes it as "long non-coding RNA (FVES_LNC000139)". Lineage: Eukaryota; Viridiplantae; Streptophyta; Magnoliopsida; Rosales; Rosaceae. The record is from RNAcentral.